CAUUAUGUAUAUCUUCUGACUGCUUAAAAAAAUGCACAUCUUCAGACAUAAUCAAAAUGUUAAAAAGGCAAAUGUCACUUAGCCUAAAGCACAGAAGACACAAAGGAAGAGAAUCUAUAGUGGACAAAACAUAUCUAUAUCUGAAAACUAUUUGGAACAAAUAAAUGUAUAUAGCUAAAGAAGCACCAAAGAUCAUACAAGAAGGAUGUUAUAUAUUUCAGAUCCUCCAGGCACAAUUUAGGUUGUCUACGCUGCAUUACUGUUAUCUUCAAGGUAUAAAUUUCAUUCCUCAACAUUGCAUGAACUUUCGAAAUGCUUGAUGUACACUGAAUCCAUGCUGCAUCACAAAUGCUUCUUUAAAGACUCCUGACUAAUGAUUUGCUCUACUUAGAUGCAACCAUUGGAUACUCAAUACUUGAACAUACUCCUGUGUUCUUCAGAGAAAGGUUGAGAGGUUCUCAGGUGGUUCAAUCCAGAUAUUCUCAAAAGGAUCUUGCUCUCCCCAGUCAUGACACUGCUUGCGAGGAUAGUAUCUACAGUCAUCAAGAGAGUAUGAUAUGCAACGCUUUCCAAAAAACCGAACUUUAGAAAAGUAGAUACUGUUUCUCAUUAUUCCAGGGAGGUCAGCUCUUGAAUGAGAUGAUAAGAAACUGGCAAACAGUGUCACACCAUCAAGGGUCUUCAUCUCUUCCCACAUCAUAUUUGACUGAUUCAACUUAAAUAUAAUUGGGUUUUCACUACAACAUGUAUAAAUAACUAAAAUGUCUCCAUUGUGCUCUGACAUAAAUUUUCCUUUCCACCAAUUUUUAGCAAAAAAAUUCUCUGGGCAUUUAGGCGGGGGCACAACAAGAACAUUCCAAGUACGUUCCACUGGGUUGAAAACACCUAGCCAGCCAGUGGGACUUAGGCAGUAAAAAAGUCCACUGCAGAAAACAAU
RNAcentral lists this unclassified non-coding RNA (937 nucleotides) under Hevea brasiliensis (rubber tree). The record is from RNAcentral. Lineage: Eukaryota; Viridiplantae; Streptophyta; Magnoliopsida; Malpighiales; Euphorbiaceae.